GCGAGUGUAGCUCAGUCUGGUAGAGCGUCACCUUGCCAAGGUGAAUGUCGAGGGUUCGAAUCCCUUCACUCGCUCCA
RNAcentral lists this transfer RNA (77 nucleotides) under Verrucomicrobium sp. RNAcentral's name for it is "tRNA-Gly". It matches the Rfam family "tRNA". From Rfam's summary of the family: Transfer RNA (tRNA) molecules are approximately 80 nucleotides in length. Their secondary structure includes four short double-helical elements and three loops (D, anti-codon, and T loops). The record is from RNAcentral. Lineage: Bacteria; Pseudomonadati; Verrucomicrobiota; Verrucomicrobiia; Verrucomicrobiales; Verrucomicrobiaceae. RNAcentral also lists the same sequence under 3 other names.